GGCGGCAUGCCUUACACAUGCAAGUCGAACGGCAGCACGGGAGCAAUCCUGGGUGGCGGAGGUGGCGAACGGGUGAGUAAUAUAUCGGAACGUGCCCAGUCGGUGGGGGAUAACGUAGCGAAAGCUACGCUAAUACCGCAUACGAUCUAUGGAUGAAAGCGGGGGAUCGCAAGACCUCGCGCGAUUGGAGCGGCCGAUAUCAGAUUAGGUAGUUGGUGAGGUAAAGGCUCACCAAGCCGACGAUCUGUAGCUGGUCUGAGAGGACGACCAGCCACACUGGGACUGAGACACGGCCCAGACUCCUACGGGAGGCAGCAGUGGGAAUUUUGGACAAUGGGCGCAAGCCUGAUCCAGCAAUGCCGCGUGCAGGAUGAAGGCCUUCGGGUUGUAAACUGCUUUUGUACGGAACGAAACGGUGAGCUCUAAUACAGUUUGCUAAUGACGGUACCGUAAGAAUAAGCACCGGCUAACUACGUG
RNAcentral lists this ribosomal RNA (477 nucleotides) under uncultured bacterium. RNAcentral's name for it is "bacterial SSU rRNA". It matches the Rfam family "Bacterial small subunit ribosomal RNA", at positions 38 to 507 of the family's 1533-position model. The record is from RNAcentral.